RNAcentral lists this antisense RNA (187 nucleotides) under Nostoc sp. PCC 7107. RNAcentral's name for it is "Antisense RNA which regulates isiA expression". It matches the Rfam family "Antisense RNA which regulates isiA expression". Lineage: Bacteria; Bacillati; Cyanobacteriota; Cyanophyceae; Nostocales; Nostocaceae. The record is from Rfam by way of RNAcentral.
GAUAACCGAAGAUAACUGCUGGGUUUAAGGUUGGAUUAGUGAUGACGCGAACAUCACCACCGCCAGGUGCCCAAGUGUCGUAGAUACCACCGAAGAACAUAGCCUUCAGGACAAGUAACAACGCACCACAACCCAAGAUGAUCAGGUGGAACCCGAUGAUGUUGGUCAUCUUGUUCUUGUCUUUCCA